RNAcentral lists this ribosomal RNA (392 nucleotides) under uncultured bacterium. Its description in RNAcentral is "partial 16S ribosomal RNA". It matches the Rfam family "Bacterial small subunit ribosomal RNA", at positions 523 to 918 of the family's 1533-position model. The record is from RNAcentral.
AUACAGAGGAUGCGAGCGUUAUCCGGAUUUAUUGGGUUUAAAGGGAGCGUAGGCGGGAGCUUAAGUCAGCGGUUAAAUGGUGCGGCUCAACCGUGCCCUGCCGUUGAAACUGGGUUUCUUGAGAGUGCAAGAGGCGGAUGGCAUUCAUUGUGUAACGGGGAAAUGCUUAGAUAUCAUGAAGAACUCCGAUUGCGAAGGCAGUCCGCUGGGGCACGUCUGACGCUGAUGCUCGAAGGUGCGGGAAUCAAACAGGAUUAGAUACCCUGGUAGUCCGCACGGUAAACGAUGAUUACCCGCUGUCGGCGGUAGACAGUCGGCGGCCAAGCGAAAGCGAUAAGUAAUCCACCUGGGGAGUACGCCGGCAACGGUGAAACUCAAAGGAAUUGACGGGG